GAUGAACGCUGGCGGCGUGCCUAAUACAUGCAAGUCGAGCGAACAGACGAGGAGCUUGCUCCUCUGACGUUAGCGGCGGACGGGUGAGUAACACGUGGAUAACCUACCUAUAAGACUGGGAUAACUUCGGGAAACCGGAGCUAAUACCGGAUAAUAUAUUGAACCGCAUGGUUCAAUAGUGAAAGACGGUUUUGCUGUCACUUAUAGAUGGAUCCGCGCCGCAUUAGCUAGUUGGUAAGGUAACGGCUUACCAAGGCAACGAUGCGUAGCCGACCUGAGAGGGUGAUCGGCGACCCUGGAACUGAGACACGGUCCAGACUCCUACGGGAGGCAGCAGUAGGGAAUCUUCCGCAAUGGGCGAAAGCCUGACGGAGCAACGCCGCGUGAGUGAUGAAGGUCUUCGGAUCGUAAAACUCUGUUAUUAGGGAAGAACAAAUGUGUAAGUAACUAUGCACGUCUUGACGGUACCUAAUCAGAAAGCCACGGCUAACUACGUG
This 497-nucleotide ribosomal RNA is filed under the name uncultured bacterium. RNAcentral describes it as "partial 16S ribosomal RNA". It matches the Rfam family "Bacterial small subunit ribosomal RNA", at positions 28 to 507 of the family's 1533-position model. The record is from RNAcentral.